GAGGUUAUAGCUCAGUGGUAAAGCUCAUGCUUGCUUAGCAUGCAUAAGGUCCUGGGUUCCAUACCCAGUACCUCCA
This 76-nucleotide transfer RNA is filed under the name Camelus bactrianus (Bactrian camel). It matches the Rfam family "tRNA". From Rfam's summary of the family: Transfer RNA (tRNA) molecules are approximately 80 nucleotides in length. RNAcentral also lists the same sequence under 1 other name. The record is from Rfam by way of RNAcentral. Lineage: Eukaryota; Metazoa; Chordata; Mammalia; Artiodactyla; Camelidae.